Molecule: ribosomal RNA, 301 nt
Filed under: uncultured bacterium
Lineage: Bacteria
Description: partial 16S ribosomal RNA
Rfam family: Bacterial small subunit ribosomal RNA
Source: RNAcentral
CAGCCGCCGCGGGAAUACGUAGGUGGCAAGCGUUGUCCGGAAUUAUUGGGCGUAAAGCGCGCGCAGGCGGCCUAUCCAGUCUGUCUUAAAAGUUCGGGGCUCAACCCCGUGAUGGGAUGGAAACUAGUAGGCUAGAGUAUCGGAGAGGAAAGCGGAAUUCCUAGUGUAGCGGUGAAAUGCGUAGAUAUUAGGAAGAACACCAGUGGCGAAGGCGGCUUUCUGGACGAAGACUGACGCUGAGGCGCGAAAGCCAGGGGAGCGAACGGGAUUAGAUACCCCCGUAGUCCCUGUCUCUUAUACC